GUUUCUGGGUGUUGCCAGAAGAGAUUAACAUUUGAGUCAGUGGACUGGGAGAGGAAGAUCUACCCUCAGGAAGACCCACCCACCAUGUAGGUGGGCACCAUCCAAUCAGCUGCCAGUGUGGCUAGAAAAAGCAGGCAGAAGAAGGUGGAAGAAGCUGACUUGCUGAGGCUUCUGGCCUUCAUCUUUCUCCCAUGCUGAAUAUUUCCUGCCCUUGAACAUCAGACUCCAAGUUCUAUGGUUUUUGAUCUCUUAGACUUACACCAGCGGUUUGCCAGGGACUCUCAGGCCUUCAGCCACAGAGCAAAGUCUGCACUGUCAGCUUCCCUACUUUUGAAGUUUUGGGACGUGGAAUGAACUACUACGGGCUUCCUUGUCCUCAACUUACAGACGGCCUGUCAUGGGAUUUCACUGUAUGAUCGUGUGUUUAUGGAAAUUCCAGAUAUUACAAUUCAUUAAAUAUGUCUGGAAAUCAGAGGAGAGGCCAGCAUGGGAGUUCAAAGGAAGUAAAUGAAGUCAUCUAGAGGCAGAAGAUAGAGGAGAAAAAUGGCUGAGGAUGAAUUUUUAAGGCAAUCCAGGAUGAUUUCCUCAUCUCAAGAUCCUUCAGCUAAUUAUAAUGACAAAGACUCUUUUUCUAAAUAAGGUAAUAUUCAUGGGUUCUUGGAUUAAGGCGUGAACAUAUCUUUUGGAGGGCUACCAGUCAGC
This 702-nucleotide long non-coding RNA is filed under the name Homo sapiens (human). RNAcentral's name for it is "HSALNT0076685". The record is from RNAcentral. Lineage: Eukaryota; Metazoa; Chordata; Mammalia; Primates; Hominidae.